This 6650-nucleotide long non-coding RNA is filed under the name Sorghum bicolor (sorghum). RNAcentral describes it as "long non-coding RNA (SBIC_LNC012473)". The record is from RNAcentral. Lineage: Eukaryota; Viridiplantae; Streptophyta; Magnoliopsida; Poales; Poaceae.
UCUUCUCUCUCCCUAUUUUCUAGAUUACAACUAGAACUAACUAGAACUAGAACUAGAGGAACUAGAACUAGAACUAGAUGAACUAGAACUAGAUCUAGAUGAACUAGAGGUAGAACUAGAAGAACUAGAGGGAUCCUCUCUACUUGGAUGAAGAAUUGAAACCCUAACUUUGAUUCUGUAGAAGAGGUAUGAUCUCCAGGGGCCAGGGGGGUCUGGUUUUAUAGUCCCUUCAAGUGAAUCUGGUCCGUCGGAUCAAACCGACAUUGAUCGUGUGGUUUUCCUUGAAGUAUUAGGUCGGUGGAGUGUUGUCCCCGAAUUGGACUCUGUUUGGUCCAGGGGGGAGGGCGGGCGCCUAGUAAGGGAGGGCAGGCGCCCAGUGCCCGGCUCCGUUACGUCUCCCGUUCGUUCCCGUGGCUUCUGGAGUCUUCUAGAUAGUUGAAAAUUGUGCGGCACGUUAAUAUCUCUAUGUAAACCCGACGUGUGGGCCUUUCUUUCAUAUUUCCUGAUAACCCCCUGCAGAAAUAGACAAACACCAAAACUCGUGGAAUUCUGUUAGAUAAAUCCCUAAGUCUAGGUGUUGGUUCCAUUUAGAUCCUUUUCCAUGAUUAGUUGAUGGUUAAAUGUGAGCAUUAAGGACCGUCAAGAAGCUCCCCCAAGCUUAACCUUUGCUCGUCCCUGAGCAAAGAUGGACUCAAGAGUUUCUACAGUGGUUUCAUAACUUAAAGAUACACAUGCGUUUAAACAAGAUCUCAUCUCUGGUUAGAGUAAACUGUUAAGACUUAAAACUUACUCAUUUACCUUUCACCAUGGGACUUGUAACCGUCACUUCUGUCUUGAGUAGUUAAAAGAUAGAACAGUUUAGUCAAGCACCAUGUCUCUUGUUCUUCGAUUAACUAUAGCUCUGGAGUUUUUGCAGAUUUUCAAAUAAAACUCAGAGAUUCCUUGUAUGACUCUCUCUAGUCUCUCUUUUGUGGUAUUUCUGGAUCCUUACCAAGGCAGUAUUGGUAUAUGCCUUCUCUCAAAGUAUGUGGUAUUUGUGGUAUAAGGCAUAGUGGCAUUGCCUUCUCUCUCACCCUACUCUAAUAAGGUUUUGAUAUCUGGAGCUCAUAGGUGGGAGACAGCUAAUACAUACUUACAAGACAUUUAUUGCAUAGUCAAACCAUGGAUCCAGAAGAACAAGUCAAUAAGUCAAAUCAAGAUGUGCAUGUGUGGCGAAUGAAUGGUGCAUGGUAAUGAUGGUGAUAACAAUGGUGAAAGUCUAAUUCUACUUAUGCUCUUUUGAGGGGAUACAUAACUUUCUUGCUCUUUUGAAACUUUUUGAGGAGAAUGAGAUGCUCUAUAUAUUUUUUUUCUUUUUCUUCUCUCAGGUGGGUAUCUUGUACCCCUAAUUCUACUGUCGGACACUUGUCCAUUUUUACCUCUCGUCUCACUUUUUUUUCUUUCGAGGUUCCGGGCACUUGCCCCUUUUUAUUUCCUCGUAUUUUUUUUCUCUUUUUUUUCUUCUUCUUUUUUCUUUUUUUAGAGCACUCAUCUCCUGAAAUAAUAUAGCAAGUGGUAGUAACCAAGAUAACUUGAGCAUUUAUUUCACAGGGGAAAACAGAAAUGUUUUUGGCUAUUCUCUCCUGGAUUAGGAGUAGAAUAUUUUUGGGUGGUUCUGGGGAUGGAAAUGGGUGGAUAUAUGUGGAUGGUACUUUCGGAGUAGAAGUAGCAUGUGUGAGUGAACGUGCAAGUGAAUCUUGAUUUAACCACAUGACAAGCUCCUAAGGGUCUACACAGCUUGACCACACUCAAUGCUCAUAAGGAGUAAAAAGUAAAUGUGUGGCUCAAAGUCUAGCAAGCAUGUAUAUAUGACUGUGGUAGGAAUUUAAACUCUCAUCAUACAGGAACUCAUCAUGCAACAUUUUAAAGAUUUUGUGCUUAUAUAUAUCUUUGCUUAGUUUGAUGUAGCUAACAGCUGGCGGAGGUGUAUUUGAAUGUCGGCAGCACUCUGUCAGCGAUUAGGAUGUUCUCCGUCUGCUAGUCUUCUUUGAUCCUUGAAUUCUGUGGAGUUCAAAUAGACAACAAAGCUUUGUGGAACUGGUUAAGGGUUAGCGUAAAUACCUAGCCUUUAUCAUGUUGAGCCUCCUCAAUAAAUGUUACUCUCUUUAGCAGGAUCAUAAAUUUAUUUUUAUAUUUUCAUUUUUAUAGGACAGGAAUAUAUUUAUUUUAUUUUUAUGCCACCACAGUGAAUGUACUUAUGGGUUUUAUACCAUGAGCAUACUCACAUAGGGCUUACUAUUUUUAACAUUUUUAUUUUAUUUUAAGAUGAUAUGAACCUGAUUAACUAAGCAAACUGUUGUAAAUAAUUGAAAUGAAAAAGAUAACUACCAAGUUUACCUCUUGGCAAAGCGUUCAGUGUUUUUAAGUCCUCCGAACGGGACUCUCCGUUUCCUCAGUCGUCCUAGGAUUUGCUGGAUGGCGUAGUCGGUGCUUCCGGCAGCGCCUGGUCUUCAUGUAUAACUAUCUUCUCUCUCCACACCUGACUCGGUGCUACGGUCUCCUCAGGACAGUUCUGUUCAAGCUAUAUGUCUUCAGACCUUACGACUUCUCCUUCAUAGUCUGCCCAUCCGUCCUUGAUGAUUUGCCUCCUCUAGUUGCGGUUGCGUCGUCUUCUUCUUGUCAUGACCUGCUUAGAGUCUUCAACUAUAUGGUUAGGGUCAGUAAAAUGGUAGUGUACCUUCUCAGAGGGGAAAUGCAUGUGGACUCCUCCGGUUUCAAUGUAGAUGAUUGCUUUAACGGUGCUGAGAAACGGUCUUCCAAGGAUGAUGGGUGGAUCGUACUUGUCUUCUCCCAUGUCAAUAACCAUAAAAUCAUCUGGAGCUGAAUGUAUGUUGGUUGUAGGGACAUGGUUCCAUGCAGGAGCUGAUAAGUGACUGCGGCCAUUAUGUUGACGUUAGAUCUGGUGUCGUAGAGUGUCUUCUAAAAAGAAUAUCCAUUGAUUGUGCACUCGAUGCUUGGAACACCAGGGUCGUCCUUCUUGAUCAAGAAAGGUGACUUGAGUUGACGAUCUUGACCUCCUUGAGCUGCAGUGACCAUCUUAGCUGACUUGGUACACAUUUGCUUGUUCCUGUUCCUCCUGUUGGUCCUCUUCCUUGGUUCAUGUCGGGAUUGCUCUGGGAUUUGUGUAGUCUUGUUCUUGAAGGAAAACGUCUCCUUCUUCCCCUUGAUGUAGAAACUGAUCUUGGCAGCAGUAGCGUAGAUGACAGCUCCCGAGGUGUUCAUGAAUGGCCUCCCUAGGGUGAUCGGUGCCCUCUGAUCCGUAUCAGUCUCUAUCACCACGAAGUCUGCUGGAGCGUAUAAGGUACCAACUCGGACGUAGAGGUUCUUCAAUAUUCCCUUUGGGAAACUUAGCAUAUGAUCUGCAAGCUGCAAACACAUGGCUGUCUCUAAUAAAGGAUGUGUAAAGUUUUUUUUAUAGUGUACCCUGAGCAUAAUGUCGACGCUGGAGCCAAAGUCGUAGAGUGCUUCUGGGAAGUCCACCAUGCUGAUAGAGAUCAGGAUGACAGGGCAUCCUGGAUCGCCUCUCUCGACCGGUAGAAGGUCAGUAAUUACUUCCACAAUGGGGUUACUCCAGUAGUUACGUCCUCAAGCAUCUCAGGGCAGUGAUUGCCUGAGUGUCCAGUAUCUCCAGUGUGUUUGUGCUCCUAGAUCUAGGUUCUUCACUUGAUGGAGUCUGGGAGUUGUAAAAGUCCCUCAUAUCUUGCUCGAAGUGUACUUGCUCAUAGAGACAAGGCAGAGAUCAAGUGCAUGGGCCCUGUUGGUGGAAAACACCAACAGAACCAAAAGUGUAUUUUCUCUUCUCUAUCCUUAAGCAUAGUGAGCAAGACAAAGUUGAUGGAUAAUAAGAUCAUGAGUGUAGCAUUUAAAACAUUCGUCAGAUUAGAUGACUCAACCUAAUGGAAAGAUAAUCUAUCUAUACUUAUGUUUUAUAUAUAUAUAUAUAUAUAUAUAUCUUCCAAAGAUUGAGAAUGCAACAUUUUAGCUCAUAUGAUUAGGAGUGUGGGAUCACUAAAGUGGAAGGACUAAACAUAUUGAAUCGAUUGGGUUGGUUAAUCUAGAGUUGUAAAUCAUACAUGUUUGUCUCUUUUACUCAUGUGAACGCCAGAACCAAGGAGAAGCUUAUAAAAGUGAUAGUCAAGUACUUUAAGAUGUUACCUUACUUGAAGAGUGAUGGUACAGUAUCACCUUGUGGAAGCUUUCCUCUCUUAGCGGUUGUGCAUCGUGUUUUUGGCACCCUCCAUGGAUCAUCUCUUGUGAGCUAUGCCUUCCUUGUGUAAAUUGUUAAACUACAUGUGUGUCUCUCUUUGUCUCCAAUGUGAGUUUAUCUCAGGACUUCCCAGGUUGAUGUUGAAAGUUUUUUUUUUCUGUAGGGGUUAGUCUGACAAAAUAUACCAAUGUCUACACAAGCAGUUUUUAGUUCAAUAACCAAACUAGACUCCAUGUCUAAUUAGAUUAAGGAAGGUUGUUUAACCUAAGCACCAUGCUUAAUUUAAAAACCAAUAGAAGUAUGUACAGUACUUCCAAACUAACACUUACUAGGAUAAACAAAGGUAGCGUGAUGGCUUUUAUAGAGAUCUACUCAAGUGGACAUGAAGUAGUGUGAUUACUAUUUAACAAAUUGAGCAUGUCUCAAAGGUAGGGACAACCAACAUAGCAACAUGGCAAAGGAUGUUUUUAUGUAAAGUACUCCCCCAAGCUUGAAUUUCGCAAAAUUCAAGUUUGGAUGAAUUUAAUUCAAUGUUGUAUGAUGAUUGGUUGGACAUACCUUGUGCUUGUCAUUCAUCCGAUCUUCUUGCUCCAAUCCUAGAAAGGUUAGUGACAAGAAUACCCGAAGGAAUAUUUUUACAAUUAUCCUUAUAUGCUCAAUACACAAGGCAAUGCUGCAAAUAAUUAAAAGCUCAUGUUACGAUCUGAUCAGUGCUUGUUUUAGGACACAAAGCUUGUCCUUGGGAAACCAUCAAUUUAUGUCGGCGAAGUGGUUCCCCCUCCAACGCUGACCUAUAUCAAGAUCAACUCAACGAGAUCUGCAAUAUUUAAUAUAGACAUAUGCAUCGACAACCGCCCUUUUAAAGUUUUUAUAAAUAGAAAGGAUGAGGGGGUUGGAGAUCUCGAAUGUGGUGAUGUUGGAAAAACCAAUGGAUUGUGAAGAUGUUGCAUAUGAGCAUGGAGUAAAUGAAGUGGCUAUGAAAUAAAUUCCAUGCUCAUUAAUGCUUAGAGUGAAAUCCAUGUGGUAUGGUGAAAAUGAUAAGGUGAGUGUGUUAAAAAAAGGAAAAGAAAAAGGAUACACGGACGACUUGGUUCGAAACUAGCACAGCUACCGUUCCCCGGCAACGGCGCCAGAAAGCUUGUUGGGUAUUUUAAACGCAAACAGAAAAAUCCGCAAGCGCACGGAUACCGAUGUAGCUUUCACCCGGGAGUAUUCCAGAGUAUCGAUUUUCCACAGAAAACUUGAGUGUACUAAUUAAGAUCCAAGAUCGCCCAAGGAUAACUAUAUAAUUAUUUUUGUGGGAAGAGAGGAAGUUUCUUGAGAGUUCUCUAGUUGAUCUAAGAAUCAAGAAUUACUUCAAGAUUAUCUAUAUCGGGACAUCAGAGCACUAACCACAGAAAGAGAUGAGAAGGGGGCUAGGAAGUUCUGACUACGGUCCUAUAAACACCGAUCCGAACGAGGUGGAAUACGUCGACCGUUAGGGCUGUCACUACCCUAGGGCUACCACAACAAUCCGUAGGAUUGGGUGCAAUACCAGGUAAUCGCAAGACUAAACACCACGUCUAAUCUAUUAAUUACUACUCUAGCGUUAUAAAGACUAGAGCACUUGAUGCAAGCGGGAAUCCAAUAAAUAACUUGAAUGUAAAUAAAAGUAAUUAAAGAACUCAGGAAUUAUGAAUUGAAGAACCUGGAGAACGAUGAAGAACGAACCAGUUGCUACAAAAGUAUAAUGUUGAGGAAGAUCCGACAGAUCCGGCUCCUCCUCCGCUCUCCUCUUCUCUCUCCCUAUUUUCUAGAUUACAACUAGAACUAACUAGAACUAGAACUAGAGGAACUAGAACUAGAACUAGAUGAACUAGAACUAGAUCUAGAUGAACUAGAGGUAGAACUAGAAGAACUAGAGGGAUCCUCUCUACUUGGAUGAAGAAUUGAAACCCUAACUUUGAUUCUGUAGAAGAGGUAUGAUCUCCGGGGGCCAAGGGGGUCUGGUUUUAUAGUCCCUUCAAGUGAAUCUGGGCCGUCGGAGCAAACCAACAUUGAUCGUGUGGUUUUCCUUGAAGUAUUAGGUCGGUGGAGUGUUGUCCUCGAAUUGGACUCUGUUUGGUCCAGGGGGGAGGGCGGGCGCCCAGUAAGGGAGGGCGGGCGCCCAGUGCCCGGCUCUGUUACGUCUCCCGUUCGUUCCCGUGGCUUCUGGAGUCUUCUAGAUGGUUGAAAAUUGUGCGGCACGUUAAUAUCUCUAUGUAAACCCGAUGUGUGGGCCUUUCUUUCAUAUUUCCUGAUAACCCCCUGCAGAAAUAGACAAACACCAAAACUCGUGGAAUUAUGUCAGAUAAAUCCCUAAGUCUAGGUGUUGGUUCCAUUUAGAUCCUUUUCCAUGAUUAGUUGAUGGUUAAAUGUGAGCAUU